GCAUAUCAAUAAGCGGAGGAAAAGAAACCAACAGGGAUUGCCCCAGUAACGGCGAGUGAAGCGGCAACAGCUCAAAUUUGAAAUCUGGCCUUCGGGUCCGAGUUGUAAUUUGGAGAGGAUGCUUCUGGCGCGGCGCCGUCCGAGUUCCUUGGAACAGGACGCCAUAGAGGGUGAGAGCCCCGUACGGGCGGCCGCCUAGCCUUUGUGAAGCUCCUUCGACGAGUCGAGUAGUUUGGGAAUGCUGCUCAAAAUGGGAGGUAAAUUUCUUCUAAAGCUAAAUACCGGCCAGAGACCGAUAGCGCACAAGUAGAGUGAUCGAAAGAUGAAAAGCACUUUGAAAAGAGGGUUAAAAAGUACGUGAAAUUGUUGAAAGGGAAGCGCCUGUGACCAGACUUGCGGCCCGCGGAUCAUCCGGUGUUCUUCACCGGUGCACUCCGCGGGCUGCAGGCCAGCAUCGGUUUUCCUAGGGGGACAAAGGUCGCGGGAACGUAGCUCUUUCGGGAGUGUUAUAGCCCGUGGCGUCAUGCCUCUGGGGGGACCGAGGACCGCGCUUCGGCAAGGAUGCUGGCGUAAUGGUCACCGGCGACCCGUCUUGAAACACGGACCAAGGAGUCAAGCAUUGGGGCGAGUGUCUGGGUGCCAAACCCGCACGCGAAAUGAAAGUAAACGCAGGUGAGAGCUUCGGCGCAUCACCGACCGAUCCUGAUGUCUUCGGAUGGAUUUGAGUAAGAGCCUUACCGCUUGGACCCGAAAGAUGGUGAACUAUGCCUGUAUAGGGUGAAGCCAGAGGAAACUCUGGUGGAGGCUCGCAGCGGUUCUGACGUGCAAAUCGAUCGUCAAAUAUGGGCAUGGGGGCGAAAGACUAAUCGAACCAUCUAGUAGCUGGUUACCGCCGAA
This 897-nucleotide ribosomal RNA is filed under the name Ophiostoma tapionis. RNAcentral describes it as "LSU rRNA". It matches the Rfam family "Eukaryotic large subunit ribosomal RNA", at positions 38 to 965 of the family's 3401-position model. The record is from RNAcentral. Lineage: Eukaryota; Fungi; Ascomycota; Sordariomycetes; Ophiostomatales; Ophiostomataceae.